UACGUAGGGUGCAAGCGUUAAUCGGAAUUACUGGGCGUAAAGCGUGCGCAGGCGGCUUUGCAAGACAGAUGUGAAAUCCCCGGGCUUAACCUGGGAACUGCAUUUGUGACUGCAUGGCUGGAGUGCGGCAGAGGGGGAUGGAAUUCCGCGUGUAGCAGUGAAAUGCGUAGAUAUGCGGAGGAACACCGAUGGCGAAGGCAAUCCCCUGGGCCUGCACUGACGCUCAUGCACGACAGCGUGGGGAUCAAACAGG
This 253-nucleotide ribosomal RNA is filed under the name uncultured bacterium. RNAcentral's name for it is "partial 16S ribosomal RNA". It matches the Rfam family "Bacterial small subunit ribosomal RNA", at positions 524 to 776 of the family's 1533-position model. The record is from RNAcentral.